This 301-nucleotide ribosomal RNA is filed under the name uncultured bacterium. RNAcentral describes it as "partial 16S ribosomal RNA". It matches the Rfam family "Bacterial small subunit ribosomal RNA", at positions 509 to 807 of the family's 1533-position model. The record is from RNAcentral.
CAGUAGCCGCGGGAAUACGUAGGGUGCAAGCGUUGUCCGGAAUCAUUGGGCGUAAAGCGCGCGUAGGUGGCCAUUUAAGUCCGCUGUGAAAGUCAAAGGCUCAACCUUUGAAAGCCGGUGGAUACUGGAUGGCUAGAGUACGGAAGAGGCGAGCGGAAUUCCUGGUGUAGCGGUGGAAUGCGCAGAUAUCAGGAGGAACACCAAUAGCGAAGGCAGCUCGCUGGGACGUUACUGACACUGAGGCGCGAAAGCGUGGGGAGCGAACAGGAUUAGAUACCCCAGUAGUCCCUGUCUCUUAUAC